AUGGAGGCCGGGAAUCUGCAUUUUCCGCGAGCUCCCAGCGCUGCUGUCGCUGGUUCCAGAGUGCGCUCAGCAUCAGCGCCCCCUGCAGCCCUGAAUACAGAUGUGGUCCUUCAGCUGUGCGUGUGGUGCCAAACAGGUCGUGCUCCCCGCCCCCCCAGCCUCCACGGACAGCAGCAUGGAACCCCUGAUGCUGUGCUCCCUGCGGGAAGACGAGUGAGCUGCCCACGAGUGCAGUGGGCGGGUGGGUUUGAGAGACGAGGUGGUUUCCCCACUCUGGCGCAGGCAGAUUCCUCCAGAUCUUCACCCAGCAGUGUCUGCCUAGAGGAAGCUGCUCCUCGUCCUCCCUCCGCGCAGGAGCUGGGGGGGAGGGCAGAGGGGCUGUCCCCUGCUUCUGAGCACACUGCCGACGGCCGGACCUCCCCCUCAGCCCUCCCUGGGGUUGUCCAGGCAUUCAGGACACGAGGCUGCUAUGUCCUUCCCUGCAGUGCCAGCACGAACCACACGGAACUUCAGCCCGGUCCCUCCGGGGCUCUGACCCCAAUGACCACACAGCCCCUUCCCUUCUCAGCUCCUCACAGCAGCAAAGGAACGCUCAGAGAGAACAACCACGAGAGGCCAGAGGGAUUCCGUUUCAGUGAUCUGGUUCAAAUGUUGCCUGGUGAACUGGGGAGACCCUGGGCCCUGAAGUCUCAACUCAGCCCAUCCCAAAGAUGUCGCCAAAGGCUCUCGGUCUCCUUAUGAGAAAGAAUUCAGGGACAGACGUGCAGCACCGCAGAUGAGCGACACAAACAGGAAAGUUCAUUAAAGCAGGGUACGCUCGAGAUGCGAGAGCAGGCCGGCUUGAGAGAGAGCUGCAUUCCUGGGGUUCGGGUUUUACCUUUUAUUAACAGUUCUUAAGGGGUGGGAUAUUCAUUAUUGGAGGUGAGGAUUUCUUGGUAGCAGGAUUUUGUGCCUUUUUCUUAUUUGACCAGAGGUUUCCUGUCAUGGCACCGCCAUCGGGGGCCUGUCUGGUGGGAUCUGGCUUCUCGUGGAUGUGGCCAGGACAGGCUACUGACCUUCCCCACACCUCACGUGGCUGCCUCCAUGCUGGCCUCCGGGCAUCCCGUUAGAGCCUCCGUGCCGCCUCUAACAGUUUCACUAAUAUGUGUGAAGGAAACAUUAAAGACCCAAUUUCCAAAUAUCCCCCUUUUAUUAAAAUUAAUCAUAAGAUAACAUCAUAAUUUAUAAAUCUAUUAAUUAGUUAUUUUCCAUUUUCCAAUUAGAACAUUGUCUGUUUGGUCCAAAGAUACCAAAAGCUACAGCAGAAAAACCAAAUGAAGCCCAGAGUGUCUCUGUGAGUGUUGGUUCCUCCCAAAAGUUGGGGGCUUUACUGACUGAACCAGAUGGUUUCCUCACUUCUGAUUGUGUAGUCUUACCGCUGGCUUUCUCUACUGGUGCGCACAAGAAACAUCCAGACGUGACGAAAGAACCCCAUCUGAGCCAUCCGAGACAGGUUGUCCUUUCACUUUCCCGUUUGGAAAUACUUGCACGUAUAAACUUGUAUGCAUUGUUCAUGAAGCCUGCUGGAGUUUUCUGUGGGCACUUGUUGGUUUUCCAGGGGUUUUGAAACAUGGCUCCCCGUUUCUAGCUUCCGUUUAAUUUGUAGACCACGGCUUGAGUUAGAUCUAAGGAUUUUAGAUGUGCGUCAAGAGGGUGCCGCAUGUGAGUGUCUCUUCCGUGUCUUGGUUUCUCCCAACAAGGCCUAAGACCACCGAGGGUGCGCAGUACACUGGAUGGCCUGUCCUUGCGUGUGCGUCCCUGGACAGGCCAGUCAUUAGUCACCUUAUGAGGUGGGAAGUUCCUGUGGGAGAGCUCCGUAUCUCCAGGAGUGUCGUCAGACACUUCCGCUAGGCUCUCCGUCACCUGAAAGCACCAUGUGCCUGGAAGGAGCAAGUGUCCCUUCUCUUCAGAGCUGAGAGAGUCAGUCUCUCAUUUUUCUAGCCACAAAGUUUUAUUCAAGCCUUGUAUUAGUAUCAAUUAAUAUAAUGCCAAAUUAAGAUGAACGACCCACAAACAACCCCCUCGAGGUUAUUCCCACCUAGAGAACAUUACCAGUAACCCUCAGCAGCUCAAGUCUAAGUCAGGUGUGGAUAGCUGGAGAUCCCACCAGGUACACCUGUGAGGGGCUGAGACGUCGGAGGGGGCGUAAGAGGCCUGUGCUGGGCCCGAGCACCCAUUUCCAGAGGACCUCCAGGGGUUCACAGGCAAGUGGCUCUGAUAGCCUAUGGCUGCGCCCAGAAAUGUUGACACCCUUUUAGAAUUUCUUUAAAAAAGGAAGACAGUUUUUUAUUUGAGCCCAAGUUAGUUCUGCUGCCUGGAAUACACAAUCUGCAUAAAGGAGUGCUAUGGUGAGGGAGCACUUCAUGUAGAGCUAUAUUCGUACAGAAAAAGUUAGCAAUCAUUAAACAAAGGACAUGUCAGAAGUUGCUGAGCUUACGUUCCUCUUCCAGUACGUGCAGGGCUCACGACUCAUGGCAACCAGGAGGGUUGAUGCCUUUGUGUUCAGAAUGCUCCUUUUUGGUUCUUUCUUUAAGGAAGCCGAUGUACAGAGUGCUGGGGGUAGAAAUGGAGCUCACGGGUUUUGCUG
Long non-coding RNA from Ailuropoda melanoleuca (giant panda), 2626 nucleotides. Lineage: Eukaryota; Metazoa; Chordata; Mammalia; Carnivora; Ursidae. The record is from Ensembl.